This 2901-nucleotide ribosomal RNA is filed under the name Klebsiella pneumoniae. RNAcentral's name for it is "bacterial LSU rRNA". It matches the Rfam family "Bacterial large subunit ribosomal RNA". Lineage: Bacteria; Pseudomonadati; Pseudomonadota; Gammaproteobacteria; Enterobacterales; Enterobacteriaceae. RNAcentral also lists the same sequence under 1 other name. The record is from RNAcentral.
UUAAGCGACUAAGCGUACACGGUGGAUGCCCUGGCAGUCAGAGGCGAUGAAGGACGUGCUAAUCUGCGAAAAGCGUCGGUAAGGUGAUAUGAACCGUUAUAACCGGCGAUGUCCGAAUGGGGAAACCCAGUGUGAUUCGUCACACUAUCGUUAACUGAAUACAUAGGUUAACGAGGCGAACCGGGGGAACUGAAACAUCUAAGUACCCCGAGGAAAAGAAAUCAACCGAGAUUCCCCCAGUAGCGGCGAGCGAACGGGGAGCAGCCCAGAGUCUGAAUCAGCUUGUGUGUUAGUGGAACGGUCUGGAAAGUCCGACGGUACAGGGUGAUAGUCCCGUACACCAAAAUGCACAGGCUGUGAACUCGAAGAGUAGGGCGGGACACGUGGUAUCCUGUCUGAAUAUGGGGGGACCAUCCUCCAAGGCUAAAUACUCCUGACUGACCGAUAGUGAACCAGUACCGUGAGGGAAAGGCGAAAAGAACCCCGGCGAGGGGAGUGAAAAAGAACCUGAAACCGUGUACGUACAAGCAGUGGGAGCACCUUUAUGGUGUGACUGCGUACCUUUUGUAUAAUGGGUCAGCGACUUAUAUUCUGUAGCAAGGUUAACCGUAUAGGGGAGCCGCAGGGAAACCGAGUCUUAACUGGGCGUUAAGUUGCAGGGUAUAGACCCGAAACCCGGUGAUCUAGCCAUGGGCAGGUUGAAGGUUGGGUAACACUAACUGGAGGACCGAACCGACUAAUGUUGAAAAAUUAGCGGAUGACUUGUGGCUGGGGGUGAAAGGCCAAUCAAACCGGGAGAUAGCUGGUUCUCCCCGAAAGCUAUUUAGGUAGCGCCUCGUGAACUCAUCUUCGGGGGUAGAGCACUGUUUCGGCUAGGGGGUCAUCCCGACUUACCAACCCGAUGCAAACUACGAAUACCGAAGAAUGUUAUCACGGGAGACACACGGCGGGUGCUAACGUCCGUCGUGAAGAGGGAAACAACCCAGACCGCCAGCUAAGGUCCCAAAGUCAUGGUUAAGUGGGAAACGAUGUGGGAAGGCACAGACAGCCAGGAUGUUGGCUUAGAAGCAGCCAUCAUUUAAAGAAAGCGUAAUAGCUCACUGGUCGAGUCGGCCUGCGCGGAAGAUGUAACGGGGCUAAACCAUGCACCGAAGCUGCGGCAGCGACACGAUGUGUUGUUGGGUAGGGGAGCGUUCUGUAAGCCUGCGAAGGUGACCUGUGAGGGUUGCUGGAGGUAUCAGAAGUGCGAAUGCUGACAUAAGUAACGAUAAAGCGGGUGAAAAGCCCGCUCGCCGGAAGACCAAGGGUUCCUGUCCAACGUUAAUCGGGGCAGGGUGAGUCGACCCCUAAGGCGAGGCCGAAAGGCGUAGUCGAUGGGAAACAGGUUAAUAUUCCUGUACUUGGUGUUACUGCGAAGGGGGGACGGAGAAGGCUAUGUUAGCCGGGCGACGGUUGUCCCGGUUUAAGCAUGUAGGCUGGUUAUCCAGGCAAAUCCGGAUAAUCAAGGCUGAGGUGUGAUGACGAGGCACUACGGUGCUGAAGUAACAAAUGCCCUGCUUCCAGGAAAAGCCUCUAAGCAUCAGGUAACACGAAAUCGUACCCCAAACCGACACAGGUGGUCAGGUAGAGAAUACCAAGGCGCUUGAGAGAACUCGGGUGAAGGAACUAGGCAAAAUGGUGCCGUAACUUCGGGAGAAGGCACGCUGGUGUGUAGGUGAAGCCCCUGCGGGUGGAGCUGAGACCAGUCGAAGAUACCAGCUGGCUGCAACUGUUUAUUAAAAACACAGCACUGUGCAAACACGAAAGUGGACGUAUACGGUGUGACGCCUGCCCGGUGCCGGAAGGUUAAUUGAUGGGGUUAUCCGUAAGGAGAAGCUCUUGAUCGAAGCCCCGGUAAACGGCGGCCGUAACUAUAACGGUCCUAAGGUAGCGAAAUUCCUUGUCGGGUAAGUUCCGACCUGCACGAAUGGCGUAAUGAUGGCCAGGCUGUCUCCACCCGAGACUCAGUGAAAUUGAACUCGCUGUGAAGAUGCAGUGUACCCGCGGCAAGACGGAAAGACCCCGUGAACCUUUACUAUAGCUUGACACUGAACAUUGAGCCUUGAUGUGUAGGAUAGGUGGGAGGCUUUGAAGCGUGGACGCCAGUCUGCGUGGAGCCAACCUUGAAAUACCACCCUUUAAUGUUUGAUGUUCUAACGUUGGCCCCUAAUCGGGGUUGCGGACAGUGUCUGGUGGGUAGUUUGACUGGGGCGGUCUCCUCCCAAAGCGUAACGGAGGAGCACGAAGGUUAGCUAAUCCUGGUCGGACAUCAGGAGGUUAGUGCAAUGGCAUAAGCUAGCUUGACUGCGAGCGUGACGGCGCGAGCAGGUGCGAAAGCAGGUCAUAGUGAUCCGGUGGUUCUGAAUGGAAGGGCCAUCGCUCAACGGAUAAAAGGUACUCCGGGGAUAACAGGCUGAUACCGCCCAAGAGUUCAUAUCGACGGCGGUGUUUGGCACCUCGAUGUCGGCUCAUCACAUCCUGGGGCUGAAGUAGGUCCCAAGGGUAUGGCUGUUCGCCAUUUAAAGUGGUACGCGAGCUGGGUUUAGAACGUCGUGAGACAGUUCGGUCCCUAUCUGCCGUGGGCGCUGGAGAAUUGAGGGGGGCUGCUCCUAGUACGAGAGGACCGGAGUGGACGCAUCACUGGUGUUCGGGUUGUCAUGCCAAUGGCACUGCCCGGUAGCUAAAUGCGGAAGAGAUAAGUGCUGAAAGCAUCUAAGCACGAAACUUGCCCCGAGAUGAGUUCUCCCUGAGACUUUAAGUCUCCUGAAGGAACGUUGAAGACGACGACGUUGAUAGGCCGGGUGUGUAAGCGCAGCGAUGCGUUGAGCUAACCGGUACUAAUGAACCGUGAGGCUUAACCUU